RNAcentral lists this ribosomal RNA (403 nucleotides) under bacterium. RNAcentral describes it as "partial 16S ribosomal RNA". It matches the Rfam family "Bacterial small subunit ribosomal RNA", at positions 355 to 776 of the family's 1533-position model. The record is from RNAcentral.
UGGGGAAUAUUGCACAAUGGGGGAAACCCUGAAGCAGCGACGCCGCGUGAACGAAGAAGGUAUUCGUAUCGUAAAGUUCUGUCCUAUGGGAAGAUAAUGACAGUACCAUAGAAGAAAGCUCCGGCUAAAUACGUGCCAGCAGCCGCGGUAAUACGUAUGGAGCGAGCGUUGUCCGGAAUUAUUGGGCGUAAAGGGUACGCAGGCGGUUUAAUAAGUCGAAUGUUAAAGAUCGGGGCUCAACCCCGCAAAGCAUUGGAAACUGAUAAACUUGAGUAGUGGAGAGGAAAGUGGAAUUCCUAGUGUAGUGGUGAAAUACGUAGAUAUUAGGAGGAAUACCAGUAGCGAAGGCGACUUUCUGGACACAAACUGACGCUGAGGUACGAAAGCGUGGGGAGCAAACAGG